Hibiscus syriacus is the source of this 219-nucleotide long non-coding RNA. RefSeq lists it as uncharacterized. The transcript is spliced from 3 exons. NCBI's taxonomy places the organism in Eukaryota, Viridiplantae, Streptophyta, Magnoliopsida, Malvales, Malvaceae. The record is from RefSeq and is a predicted model, not a curated record.
AAACGUCCGAAAAGAUGAGAGAAUUGAUGAAGAUUUCGUUUUAUAAGCCUGCUAAAGGACUUUCCACUUGUUUUCUAAACGAUUUCAUCAAUGAAAUGUGCACAGACGAAAAGAAUUGAUCCAAGCAUUACACAAGGACCGAAAGCUGUCGGAUCUUCCAAAGAUAACUCAGCCAACACUAAUAAUCUGGGGAGAAUAUGACCAAAUAUUCCCCUUGGA